This 230-nucleotide unclassified non-coding RNA is filed under the name Hevea brasiliensis (rubber tree). Lineage: Eukaryota; Viridiplantae; Streptophyta; Magnoliopsida; Malpighiales; Euphorbiaceae. The record is from RNAcentral.
GGCAUGGUGGUGGAGGCGGUGGGGGUAGCGGAGGUGGGGGUGGAAUCGGUGCCGGAGGGGCGCAUGGUGGAGGGUUUGGCGAAGGUGGUGGCUCAGGGGCAGGUGGUGGGUAUGGUGCUGGAGGGGCUGGUGGCGGUGGCGGGGGUGGAAGCGGUGGAGGAGGUGGAUAUGCCUCUGGUGGUGAGCACGGUGGUGGCUACGGAAGUGGCGGGGGCGCUGGUGGCGGUGAA